GCGGCAGCGACAACAUUGACCCUUCGGGUGAUUUGUUGGGCGGCGAGCGGCGGACGGGUGAGUAAUGGCUGGGAACCUGCCCUGACGUGGGGGAUAACAGUUGGAAACGACUGCUAAUACCGCAUGAUGUCUUUGGACCAAAGAGGAGGACCUUCGGGCUUCUCGCGUCGGGAUGGGCCCAGUUGGGAUUAGCUAGUUGGUGAGGUAAUGGCUCACCAAGGCGACGAUCCCUAGCUGGUUUGAGAGGAUGAUCAGCCACACUGGAACUGAGACACGGUCCAGACUCCUACGGGAGGCAGCAGUGGGGAAUAUUGCACAAUGGGCGCAAGCCUGAUGC
RNAcentral lists this ribosomal RNA (337 nucleotides) under uncultured bacterium. RNAcentral describes it as "bacterial SSU rRNA". It matches the Rfam family "Bacterial small subunit ribosomal RNA", at positions 61 to 389 of the family's 1533-position model. The record is from RNAcentral.